Molecule: unclassified non-coding RNA, 240 nt
Filed under: soil metagenome
Description: partial contains 5.8S ribosomal RNA, internal transcribed spacer 2, and large subunit ribosomal RNA
Source: RNAcentral
AACCUAGCACACCUGCGGUGUGUACCUGCGGAGGGAUCAUUACAGAGUUACUACUCCAAACCCAUUGUGAACCUUACCUAUGUUCUGUUGCCUCGGCGGCGUGGUCAGCGCCCCUCUGAAAAGAGGACGAUGCCCUCCCGCCGGCAGCACCAAACUCUUUAAAUUUUACAGCGGAUUACAGUUCUGAUUUGAAAACAAAAAAAACAAGUUAAAACUUUCAACAACGGAUCUCAGAUCGGA